UACAGAGACUGCAAGCGUUAUUCGGAUUCACUGGGCGUAGAGGGUGCGCAGGCGGCCAAGUGUGUGAGGCGUGAAAGCCCGGGGCUUAACCCCGGAAUUGCACCUCAAACUACAUGGCUAGAGCAUUGGAGAGGGUAGCAGAAUUCACGGUGUAGCAGUGAAAUGCGUAGAUAUCGUGAGGAAUACCAGAGGCGAAGGCGGCUACCUGGACAAUUGCUGACGCUCAGGCACGAAAGCGUGGGGAGCAAAAGGG
Molecule: ribosomal RNA, 253 nt
Filed under: uncultured bacterium
Lineage: Bacteria
Description: partial 16S ribosomal RNA
Rfam family: Bacterial small subunit ribosomal RNA
Source: RNAcentral